GCAGUCGAACGCCUAGCUUGCUAGGAGUGGCGCACGGGUGCGUAACACGUGGGAACCUGCCUUUCAAUACGGAACAACUUCGGGAAACUGGAGCUAAUACCGUAUAUCCUGCUUACUUUGGUCGUAAGUAGAAAAGAUUUAUCGUUGAAAGAUGGGCCCGCGGUGGAUUAGCUUGUUGGUGAGGUAAUGGCUCACCAAGGCGACGAUCCAUAGCUGGUUUGAGAGGAUGAUCAGCCACACUGGGACUGAGACACGGCCCAGACUCCUACGGGAGGCAGCAGUGGGGAAUAUUGGACAAUGGGCGAAAGCCUGAUCCAGCAAUGCCGCGUGAGUGAAGAAGGCCUUCGGGUCGUAAAACUCUUUCACAAGUGAAGAUAAUGACGGUAACUUGAGAAGAAGCCCCGGCUAACUUCGUGCCAGCAGCCGCGGUAAUACGAAGGGGGCUAGCGUUGUUCGGAAUUACUGGGCGUAAAGGGCGUGUAGGCGGCUUGACCAGUUAGGUGUGAAAUCCCCAGGCUCAACCUGGGAACUGCACUUAAUACUGUCAAGCUAGAGAACCAGAGGGGG
Molecule: ribosomal RNA, 567 nt
Filed under: uncultured Pseudomonadota bacterium
Lineage: Bacteria; Pseudomonadati; Pseudomonadota
Description: bacterial SSU rRNA
Rfam family: Bacterial small subunit ribosomal RNA
Source: RNAcentral